AAAGUCGUAACAAGGUAACCGUAGGUGAACCUGCGGUUGGAUCAUUACAGAAAUGGAUGUGGCUUCGGCCCGCCUGCGUACUUGCUCAAACGAGCAGUGCGUAGUAAUUCCAAACCUAUUGUGCACUGUUUUUGUCUCUGGCGGCCGGGUACACAUGUCCUACGCAAGUAUGCUCAUGAUUGCCUGUCAGCCUGGUGUAAAAACCCAGGCCGUGGACAAACCGCCAACAUCAUAUAUAAACUUUGAAGUCUAAAGUAAACCAGUAUUUAAAUAUACAAACAACUUUUGGCAACGGAUCUCUUGGCUCUC
Molecule: unclassified non-coding RNA, 309 nt
Filed under: Chytridiomycota sp.
Lineage: Eukaryota; Fungi; Chytridiomycota
Description: partial contains small subunit ribosomal RNA, internal transcribed spacer 1, and 5.8S ribosomal RNA
Rfam family: Eukaryotic small subunit ribosomal RNA (bases 1-47)
Source: RNAcentral